RNAcentral lists this ribosomal RNA (629 nucleotides) under uncultured bacterium. Its description in RNAcentral is "bacterial SSU rRNA". It matches the Rfam family "Bacterial small subunit ribosomal RNA", at positions 505 to 1127 of the family's 1533-position model. The record is from RNAcentral.
GUGCCAGCAGGCCGCGGUAAUACGGAGGGUGCAAGCGUUACUCGGAAUCACUGGGCGUAAAGAGCGUGUAGGCGGGUAUAUAAGUCAGAAGUGAAAUCCAAUAGCUUAACUAUUGAACUGCUUUUGAAACUGUAUACCUAGAAUGUGGGAGAGGUAGAUGGAAUUUCUGGUGUAGGGGUAAAAUCCGUAGAGAUCAGAAGGAAUACCGAUUGCGAAGGCGAUCUACUGGAACAUUAUUGACGCUGAGACGCGAAAGCGUGGGGAGCAAACAGGAUUAGAUACCCUGGUAGUCCACGCCCUAAACGAUGUUCACUAGUUGUUGUGAGGCUUGACCUUGCAGUAAUGCAGUUAACACAUUAAGUGUACCGCCUGGGGAGUACGGUCGCAAGAUUAAAACUCACAAGGAAUAGACGGGGACCCGCACAAGCGGUGGAGCAUGUGGUUUAAUUCGACGAUACACGAAGAACCUUACCUGGACUUGACAUAGUAAGAACUUUCUAGAGAUAGAUUGGUGUCUGCUUGCAGAAACUUAUAUACAGGUGCUGCACGGCUGUCGUCAGCUCGUGUCGUGAGAUGUUGGGUUAAGUCCCGCAACGAGCGCAACCCUCGUCAUUAGUUGCUAACAGUUC